AUUGAACGCUGGCGGCAGGCCUAACACAUGCCAGUCGAACGGUAACAGGAAGCAGCUUGCUGCUUCGCUGACGAGUGGCGGACGGGUGAGUAAUGUCUGGGAAGCUGCCUGAUGGAGGGGGAUAACUACUGGAAACGGUAGCUAAUACCGCAUAAUGUCGCAAGACCAAAGAGGGGGACCUUCGGGCCUCUUGCCAUCGGAUGUGCCCAGAUGGGAUUAGCUUGUUGGUGGGGUAACGGCUCACCAAGGCGACGAUCCCUAGCUGGUCUGAGAGGAUGACCAGCCACACUGGAACUGAGACACGGUCCAGACUCCUACGGGAGGCAGCAGUGAGGAAUAUUGCACAAUGGGCGCAAGCCUGAUGCAGCCAUGCCGCGUGUAUGAAGAAGGCCUUCGGGUUGUAAAGUACUUUCAGCGGGGAGGAAGGGAGUAAAGUUAAUACCUUUGCUCAUUGACGUUACCCGCAGAAGAAGCACCGGCUAACUCCGUG
Molecule: ribosomal RNA, 490 nt
Filed under: uncultured bacterium
Lineage: Bacteria
Description: partial 16S ribosomal RNA
Rfam family: Bacterial small subunit ribosomal RNA
Source: RNAcentral